This 253-nucleotide ribosomal RNA is filed under the name uncultured bacterium. RNAcentral's name for it is "partial 16S ribosomal RNA". It matches the Rfam family "Bacterial small subunit ribosomal RNA", at positions 524 to 776 of the family's 1533-position model. The record is from RNAcentral.
UACGAAGGGGGCUAGCGUUGUUCGGAAUUACUGGGCGUAAAGCGCGCGCAGGCGGUCCUUUAAGUCAGGGGUGAAAGCCCAGAGCUCAACUCUGGAACGGCCUUUGAAACUAGAGGACUUGGGUACGGGAGAGGUGAGUGGAAUUCCGAGUGUAGAGGUGAAAUUCGUAGAUAUUCGGAAGAACACCAGUGGCGAAGGCGGCUCACUGGCCCGUUACCGACGCUCAGGCGCGACAGCGUGGGGAGCAAACCGG